This 279-nucleotide ribosomal RNA is filed under the name uncultured bacterium. RNAcentral's name for it is "partial 16S ribosomal RNA". It matches the Rfam family "Archaeal small subunit ribosomal RNA", at positions 456 to 735 of the family's 1478-position model. The record is from RNAcentral.
UGCCAGCAGCCGCGGUAAUACGGGCGCCUCAAGUGGUAGUCGCUUUUAUUGGGCCUAAAACGUCCGUAGCCGGUCUGAUACAUUCGUGGGUAAAUCAACCAUCUUAACUGGUUGAAUUCUGCGAGGACGGUCAGACUUGGGACCGGAAGAGGUGUGGGGUACGCUCAGGGUAGGGGUAAAAUCCUGUCAUCCUUAGAGGACCACCAGUUGCGAAGGCGCCACACUGGAACGGAUCCGACGGUCAGGGACGAAGCCUAGGGGCACGAACCGGAUUAGAUA